GACGAACGCUGGCGGCGUGCUUAACACAUGCAAGUCGAACGGAAAGGCCCUGCUUGCAGGGUACUCGAGUGGCGAACGGGUGAGUAACACGUGGGUGUUCUGCCCUGCACUUCGGGAUAAGCCUGGGAAACUGGGUCUAAUACCGGAUAGGAGCCAUUUUUAGUGUGAUGGUUGGAAAGUUUUUUCGGUGUAGGAUGAGCUCGCGGCCUAUCAGCUUGUUGGUGGGGUAAUGGCCUACCAAGGCGGCGACGGGUAGCCGGCCUGAGAGGGUGGACGGCCACAUUGGGACUGGGAUACGGCCCAGGCUCCUACGGGAGGCAGAAGUGGGGAAUAUUGCACAAUGGGCGCAAGCCUGAUGCAGCGACGCCGCGUGGGGGAUGACGGCCUUCGGGUUGGAAACUCCUUUCGCUAGGGACGAAGCUUUUUGUGACGGUACCUAGAUAAGAAGCACCGGCUAACUACGUG
This 465-nucleotide ribosomal RNA is filed under the name uncultured bacterium. RNAcentral describes it as "partial 16S ribosomal RNA". It matches the Rfam family "Bacterial small subunit ribosomal RNA", at positions 28 to 507 of the family's 1533-position model. The record is from RNAcentral.